GCACUUUUGGCUCAACUGGAUAGAGGUUUGACUGGUGGGCAGACGUCCGGGGUUCGAGUCCCCGCUGGGGUA
Caenorhabditis elegans is the source of this 72-nucleotide non-coding RNA. The record is from the annotation of a RefSeq genome assembly. NCBI's taxonomy places the organism in Eukaryota, Metazoa, Nematoda, Chromadorea, Rhabditida, Rhabditidae.